RNAcentral lists this long non-coding RNA (213 nucleotides) under Physcomitrium patens. RNAcentral's name for it is "long non-coding RNA (PPAT_LNC005779)". The record is from RNAcentral. Lineage: Eukaryota; Viridiplantae; Streptophyta; Bryopsida; Funariales; Funariaceae.
UCUUUUGCUAUAUUUUAUCAUAACUAGCUAUUUGCUAAUAAGUUAGAUUUUCAUAAAUUUCAAAUAAAAUCCAUAAUUUCUUUUUAGAAAUUUAUUUUUAUAUUAAAAAUUUAUUAUAACUCUAUAUAUCUAUCUUUAAAAUAUAUUUAAAGUCUUGAUUCUUAAAAAGCCCUUGAUUUAUAUAAAAGAUCCAACAUUGUGGCUAAUAACCUC